GGGGCCCAUCGCACAUCCUAGGCACAGAUGCUAAUGUAGGCACUGCAGGUAAGCUGGGCUUGGUACCCUUCCCUGGCUUCAGAAAGAAGCCAACAAGGAGCGUUUUGCAGAAUGAAACCUCUUUUCCAUCCAGAAGCACUGCUGACUGUAGGUGGUUGCCGUUUGUGGCAGUGAGCAUUUUGUCCAUUCUGAGGUUGGAUUGGUUUCUUCUUUUGGCCUUGCCCUGCCCUACAGACCAUAAAGGAGAACAGCAAGAGGCCCCCAGCAAACAUCCACAGAUGGCCCUGGACAUCAGCCACAUUCUGAGAAACAUGUCAUGUUCUGGGAGGGCUAAGGCAUCAAGUUAGGCCUACGGGGCUGGAUGAUCCCAGGCAACGUGGGGCAAUCCAGAGCCAUGGGGGCUUUCCAUGGGAAUUGGGAGGUCCCAAGGCAGAGUCAGAGGUUCCACAGGAGGAGUCACAGAGUCACCAAGGGCUCUCCUGGCCCAGGGAGCAGUCAACACCAUGGACUGAACACCUGCUGGGCUCCAAGCCCUGGGCCAGGCUGCCCAUGUGGGGCCAGGAGGCAGCUCAGAGUGGGAGGCAGAGAAGUGUGCUCAGAGGGCACCUGUAUCUGGAUGUAAUGUGGUCCUGAGACUGGCUGGGAAGUGCUUCCAGGGUAUCAUAUGUGUUAUGCAGUUACUUCCUCUCCCCAGCCUUACCCUGUAGGAAUUCUAGUGACUAUGUUGCCACCAUCUUGGAGCUCCAUGCCCUCAUAGUGUAAUGGCACCAGCAGAUCUGCCUGUGCAUGGACUUCCUGUACUACCUCACUCCUGAGGGGAGAUGUUUCUGCAGGGCCUAUGACCUGGUGCACAACUUUAGACACCAUCAUCCUGGAGCAGCACUGCACCCUCACUAGCCAGAGUGUUGACAUCCUCAAGGCCAGGGCCACAUUCAAGACUUUGGACUUCAUUGAUGCACUUGUGCUGAGCAAGAUCCUGGUCAGAGUAAAACAUUCCAUGGGAACUCGGGCUGUGAGAAACAUCCUAACCACCUGACUGCAGAAACAUCCUUAUCACAUCCUGCUGGGCAAGGGCCCAACAGCCUGACUUCAGGAACAUCCUUAUCAUCUUCUACUGAGCAGCAAGCUAUACUGUCCAGAGCCCUCCCUCCCAGCCCCAUGAUUACCCCAGCCUGUAAGUGGCAGUGGGCGCUGACACUAAGCUGGUUUCCCCCUCCGCAGGGUUUUGCUAGUAAUAAACCUGUGUUGCUGUUGAAGCGGCCA
Long non-coding RNA from Homo sapiens (human), 1263 nucleotides. Ensembl annotates it as cytochrome P450 family 4 subfamily F member 26, pseudogene. Its record names the gene CYP4F26P. NCBI's taxonomy places the organism in Eukaryota, Metazoa, Chordata, Mammalia, Primates, Hominidae. The record is from Ensembl.